GAUGAACGCUGGCGGCGUGCCUAAUACAUGCAAGUCGAGCGAACAGACGCGGACCUUGCUCCUCUGACGUUAGCGGCGGACGGGUGAGUAACACGUGGAUAACCUACCUAUAAGACUGGGAUAACUUCGGGAAACCGGAGCUAAUACCGGAUAAUAUAUUGAACCGCAUGGUUCAAUAGUGAAAGACGGUUUUGCUGUCACUUAUAGAUGGAUCCGCGCCGCAUUAGCUAGUUGGUAAGGUAACGGCUUACCAAGGCAACGAUGCGUAGCCGACCUGAGAGGGUGAUCGGCCACACUGGAACUGAGACACGGUCCAGACUCCUACGGGAGGCAGCAGUAGGGAAGCUUCCGCAAUGGGCGAAAGCCUGACGGAGCAACGCCGCGUGAGGGAUGAAGGUGUUCGGAGCGUAAAACUCUGUUAUUAGGGAAGAACAAAUGUGUAAGUAACUAUGCACGUCUUGACGGUACCUAAUCAGAAAGCCACGGCUAACUACGUG
Molecule: ribosomal RNA, 497 nt
Filed under: uncultured bacterium
Lineage: Bacteria
Description: partial 16S ribosomal RNA
Rfam family: Bacterial small subunit ribosomal RNA
Source: RNAcentral